Molecule: transfer RNA, 74 nt
Filed under: Lobotes surinamensis (Atlantic tripletail)
Lineage: Eukaryota; Metazoa; Chordata; Actinopteri; Lobotiformes; Lobotidae
Description: tRNA-Val
Rfam family: tRNA
About the family: Transfer RNA (tRNA) molecules are approximately 80 nucleotides in length. Their secondary structure includes four short double-helical elements and three loops (D, anti-codon, and T loops).
Source: RNAcentral
CAGGCUAUAGCUUAAAAGACUCAAAGCCCCUCCCUUACACUGAGAAGACAUCCGUGCAAAUCGGAUUAGACUGA